GACGAACGCUGGCGGCGUGCUUAACACAUGCAAGUCGAACGGAAAGGCUCCAGCUUGCUGGAGUACUCGAGUGGCGAACGGGUGAGUAACACGUGGGUAAUCUGCCCUGCACUCUGGGAUAAGCCUGGGAAACUGGGUCUAAUACUGGAUAUGACCUUUCUCCUUAUGGGGUUUGGUGGAAAGUUUUUCGGUGUAGGAUAAGCCCGCGGCCUAUCAGCUUGUUGGUGGGGUGAUGGCCUACCAAGGCGACGACGGGUAGCCGGCCUGAGAGGGUGAUCGGCCACAUUGGGACUGAGAUACGGCCCAGACUCCUACGGGAGGCAGCAGUGGGGAAUAUUGCACAAUGGGCGGAAGCCUGAUGCAGCGACGCCGCGUGAGGGAUGACGGCCUUCGGGUUGUAAACCUCUUUCAGCAGGGACGAAGCGUAAGUGACGGUACCUGCAGAAGAAGCACCGGCUAACUAUGUG
RNAcentral lists this ribosomal RNA (467 nucleotides) under uncultured bacterium. RNAcentral describes it as "partial 16S ribosomal RNA". It matches the Rfam family "Bacterial small subunit ribosomal RNA", at positions 28 to 507 of the family's 1533-position model. The record is from RNAcentral.